Molecule: ribosomal RNA, 531 nt
Filed under: Triticum aestivum (bread wheat)
Lineage: Eukaryota; Viridiplantae; Streptophyta; Magnoliopsida; Poales; Poaceae
Description: partial small subunit ribosomal RNA
Source: RNAcentral
AUGGCGUGGUGGAAGACGUGUGUCCCAAAAGACCAAGGAGGCAUGGGCUUCCGAGAUAUACAUUGUUUCAAUCUGGCUUUGCUAGCCAAACAGGCGUGACGUUUGCUUGAUAAUCCAGAAUCGUUAUGUGCUACAAUCUUGAGAGCAAAAUACUUCCCAGAUGGCGAUUUAAUGAAUGCAAAUCUAAAGAAGGGUUCCUCUUUUACCUGGCAAAGCAUUAUGGCAGGAGUUAAUUCCCUAAGGAAUGGUUACAUCUGGCGAGUUGGAAAUGGACAAAAGAUUGAUAUUUGGGAAGAUGCAUCGAUCCCGAAUUGUGCAAAUAGGAAAAUUAUUACUCCUAGAAGGAGGCAUCUUUUGUCAAUGGUUUCUAACCUUAUUGACCCAAUCAUGAAUUGUUGGGAUGAAGACUUGGUGAGACAAACGUUGUGGCCAAUUGACGCUCAAAGGGUGCUCGCGAUUCCCCUUCCGAUGCAUGAUAUGCCGGACUUCAUUGCUUGGAGUUACACAAAAAAAUGGCUUGUUCACUGUUAG